Molecule: small nucleolar RNA, 113 nt
Organism: Camelus dromedarius (Arabian camel)
Lineage: Eukaryota; Metazoa; Chordata; Mammalia; Artiodactyla; Camelidae
Source: Ensembl
AGAUUUAAAGUAACAUUAUUUUAUUUACAAUCACCCAACAGGAAUCUGGCUGGGUUCAUUGUGACAAGGGUCACAAAACUUGGAGCCUUCCUAUGAAAAAAUACCCUACACCU